Molecule: ribosomal RNA, 972 nt
Filed under: Arthrobacter sp.
Lineage: Bacteria; Bacillati; Actinomycetota; Actinomycetes; Micrococcales; Micrococcaceae
Description: bacterial SSU rRNA
Rfam family: Bacterial small subunit ribosomal RNA
Source: RNAcentral
AAGAAGCGAAAGUGACGGUACCUGCAGAAGAAGCGCCGGCUAACUACGUGCCAGCAGCCGCGGUAAUACGUAGGGCGCAAGCGUUAUCCGGAAUUAUUGGGCGUAAAGAGCUCGUAGGCGGUUUGUCGCGUCUGCCGUGAAAGUCCGGGGCUCAACUCCGGAUCUGCGGUGGGUACGGGCAGACUAGAGUGAUGUAGGGGAGACUGGAAUUCCUGGUGUAGCGGUGAAAUGCGCAGAUAUCAGGAGGAACACCGAUGGCGAAGGCAGGUCUCUGGGCAUUAACUGACGCUGAGGAGCGAAAGCAUGGGGAGCGAACAGGAUUAGAUACCCUGGUAGUCCAUGCCGUAAACGUUGGGCACUAGGUGUGGGGGACAUUCCACGUUUUCCGCGCCGUAGCUAACGCAUUAAGUGCCCCGCCUGGGGAGUACGGCCGCAAGGCUAAAACUCAAAGGAAUUGACGGGGGCCCGCACAAGCGGCGGAGCAUGCGGAUUAAUUCGAUGCAACGCGAAGAACCUUACCAAGGCUUGACAUGAACCGGUAAGACCUGGAAACAGGUCCCCCGCUUGCGGUCGGUUUACAGGUGGUGCAUGGUUGUCGUCAGCUCGUGUCGUGAGAUGUUGGGUUAAGUCCCGCAACGAGCGCAACCCUCGUUCUAUGUUGCCAGCACGUGAUGGUGGGGACUCAUAGGAGACUGCCGGGGUCAACUCGGAGGAAGGUGGGGACGACGUCAAAUCAUCAUGCCCCUUAUGUCUUGGGCUUCACGCAUGCUACAAUGGCCGGUACAAAGGGUUGCGAUACUGUGAGGUGGAGCUAAUCCCAAAAAGCCGGUCUCAGUUCGGAUUGGGGUCUGCAACUCGACCCCAUGAAGUCGGAGUCGCUAGUAAUCGCAGAUCAGCAACGCUGCGGUGAAUACGUUCCCGGGCCUUGUACACACCGCCCGUCAAGUCACGAAAGUUGGUAACACCCGAAGC